This is a long non-coding RNA of Anas platyrhynchos (mallard), 2261 nucleotides long. RefSeq lists it as uncharacterized. The record is from RefSeq and is a predicted model, not a curated record. NCBI's taxonomy places the organism in Eukaryota, Metazoa, Chordata, Aves, Anseriformes, Anatidae.
AAAUCUGUAGCAGUGCGGAAAGAGAUGAUGGAAAUUAAAAAAUAAUAAUAAUAAAUUAGAAUUACAAAUGAGGUUUUCAAGGGGCAGCUGUUACCCACUCUGCUCACACGCUCGCUUUCUGAAGCGCCGGAGCGCAUCUGCGCAGGGCGAGGUAUCUGACAGCAGCAGAAGCGAUCCUGCGGGGGCCGUGUACCGAACACUCACCUUUGGGCCAGGAGGAGGGCACCGGGGCCAGGUCGCUGCCUGCUCCCACUUGCCAGACCUGAGGGAUGCUCUGCGUGGCCCCAGCCCUUCCCACGUAAGCCUUUCCUUGGGGGGGAAAGGGUUCCCCCAGCUCCAGCCCUGAGGAACCCCUUCCCACUCAUCCCUCCCCAGUCACCGCUCUCCAGGCUGCCUUCCCGCAGCUCCUUCAGCCUUUCCCAGCAGUUGUUUUAGGAGGCAGCCCUCUGUCCCUGGGUACAACCCAUGCCCACUUCCCUCCCCAUGAAGGAUCAAGGGCUUUCCCGGAGAUACAGGCACGAGCUGGGUGCUUCUCAGGCUGUUUAUUUUGCGUCCUUGCGGUCUCGAUACAGCGCAGGUGAGCGACACUUUACACGGCGGGGAUGGGACCAGGGGGGUGGCAUCGCCCGGCCAGCAGCUGAUGUGGCUGAGGAGCUUCUCCAGCCUCGUUAGGGGAAGGGGAGCCUAGCAAACGAGCAGCUAAUGAGGAAGGGAAGGCAAAGUGAAGCCGAGCCCAUGCCCUCCCCAAGGGAAGGAAUCAGACUGAACCACCUGCGCGUCCUGCCCAAACUGCUCCAGUUAUCUUGCGGCACCAGCAGCACCCAGACACCACGGGGGCAGCAGCAUCAGGACUUUGAAUAAUUUUUAAACUAUUAAAAUAAAAACGUGGCAUAGGGGACAUCUUCCAAGAGCUGGUCUUCUACCCAGGUACCUGGUGGCUCAGUUCUGACUUCACCCCGUGCGCUCACUCCCUCCUACCUCUCCUCUGAGCCACCCACGGUCACGUUUCUUGGGAACAAAUACAUCUUGAACUGCACCUUACUCGGGACCGAGUACCAGGUCCUCAAGGCCCCUUCCUGCCAUCCCACAGGAGAUGGAGGUGCCAGAGAGCUUGGAGAAACAUCUGAACUCUGUGUGUCUCAUUCAUUUUGCUUGCAGAGGAAGGAAAUGAGAGGUUAUGCGAGGAUGAGAUACUUCGGUCACGGAGUUUAAGGGGGAUCCACCCCAGGGCAUGCUUGUACCCUGCCCUUUCAUCACCAGCAUCCCACAGAGGGCUGCAUAAACACCCCAAAAAGCCUCCUUCCCCCCAGUCCUUUUCCUGUGCUUUUUUGCCAGAAAUGUUUUGUUUUCUUUUGUUUUUUUUUCAGUACUAAGCUCACCCCCUUUUGCCACCUCCUUCCCAUGCGCUCAGCUCCCUGAACUCCACUUGAGCUUACCGGGGCAUCAAAUCCCAGAUGCAGCCUUCCAGUAAAACCAAGAGGAAACACAGAGCAAAACGACCGACUUCACUAAGCAAAUACAAGGUGCACAGCUUUAUUUACUCUACUUUUUCUUUAAUCAGGAAGCGAAAAGGAAGCACAGCUGCGACCCUGCCGAGGCAGCUCCGCCUGUGCCCGAGCGCGCGGAGCACAGCUGCCGUCUCACCUAGCCAGCCCCUGCUGCAAGCACAGCACGUGGAGCACGAAUGGAGGACAAAGACACGACACUGGGACAAGCCGAGCCUCUGCAAAGCCCAAGGGGUGCACGGUAGAGAAAAGCACUCUCUGGUCUGACAUUAAUUCCAGCUCUGUGAUAAAACGCUUCGGUGCCAGAGAAAACACAGUACCAAGGAACAAGACAACUGCAGCAGCCCCAGGAAGGAAAGAUGGUGAAUAAAUUAGGUGAAGCGGUUUCUCCUUAUAUAAUGGGCAAGGAACAGCUGCUAGGAGCAACAGUAGGAGGUGUGUAGGAGGGAGAUGGCAAGACAAGAAUAGGAAAAGGAAAAAAGGAAAAGGAAAAAAGGAAAAGGAAAAGGAGGACAGACAGACGCCUGGGGACAGAGGGCAUGCAGCCAGGAGGGCAGAGGAGGCUGGGAGAGACCAGGGCUCAAGCAGUGCUGGUGGAGGGGAAGGCUGGCGUGGACAGGAGUGCUUCAGGGAGGUGAAGAUGAGGAAGAGGAGGGACGUCCACAGGGACAGGGCUGAGAAGGAGAGAGGGGUUUGGAGGGAGAAGGAGGCCCACGGUGAGGGAGAGUUUGCAGGGACAAGUGAGAGGCACUCCAG